AUCAAUGAGCAUCAAUGGCUGUUAAAAGUAUUACGUGUUGGGAACAUCCCGUAGAAGAGGAAGCAAGGCGGGACAGGCAGGAGCGUAAACAAGGAGAAUGCAUCGCGGGGGUGGCACGACGGGGUACGAGGGCGAGGGGGUUGUACCCGUCGCUCAUGCGCGCCUGGAACCCCGCCCUAUCGCUUCGGAAUACGGCCUGUCCUGUCGAGGACUCUUCGCCGAGGUGGUCGAAUAGUCACGCUUUAACCCGCGAUCCGCGAGGCGGACAGCACUCGCCAGGAACGCGCAAGUGCUCGGAAGAGGAAGGAGGCCCCGCAAACAUUCCCGAAACGGGCCCCCGGGGCUGUGUGCGCUCGCGAGCCUUCACCGAGACACGUUUCCUCUUCCCUCCCUGCCUCCCCCGCUCCCUUCCCACCAGCCCGAGUCGUUGAGAAAAAUCGUCGCGGAGGGAGCACCGCAAAUUUUGAUCGUCGUGUGUAUUGUUCCAUGAACCGAGGGAGGAUCGACGGUGGUGGCGGAUCGAUCAUCGUCAGACGGGGAGUCGCGCGUGUGACGGGAAUUUCAGGAUCGAUGUGACCGGCAGCGAUGCCAGCAAUUCUGCUGCGUGGCAACCAGUUGCGGAUGCAAACUGGCGUCGAGCAUAGAAUCCGUAUUAAGCUCACCAUGAAUGGCCCUUCGGCGUGAAAUCGUGCGUCGGGAAUCGCUGUCGACGCUCUCGCGCGGAUCUCCGAGUCGUGGAGGUGCCUCGAGUGUAAUUUACUAUUUUUCUUUCCCCUCGGUGGAUCGAUCUGGAGAGCGUGACGGAUCGCCGAGUGUCGCGACCGCUGUUGAUUGCGAUUCGCGUGAAAAAGCGAGCUUUUAUUCAGCGGAAGAGAGUCGCUCUUCAAGUUCGCGAACGACCUGUAUAUAUAUAUAUAUAUAUAUAUCGAGGAUAGACAACAAUCGCGUCACAUCGAUCCGGUUGGCAUAAGUUUACAAACGCGAUAUCGAAUCUCCUCAACUCCAAUAUAUCUUCGUCGUUCAAAAUAUCACAACGUGCGCCUUAAACCAUACCAAAGAAACCAAUAAAAAAUAAGAAAAAAAGAAAAACACGAACAGCACAGGCCUAACUUGGGAUCAACGGACUAACGAUUUGCAAAAUAUCACGCGAUUUUCUAACGCGUGAGUGUCACGCGGCCUUUCUUGAAGAAGAUUUUUCAUAAGUGUGCGACGAGCUACAUACGCGAGAUGCACGAUUUCCUACAAAACAGCAGCGGCUGAAAGGUCGUGAUCGAUCGACUUAAUUUGAUAACCCCCGAAAGAACCUUAGAGUGUACCGUAUAGCGAUAAGAUGAGGACUGAAAAGUGAAAGGGGUGAAUCGAGAAAGAGAGAGAGAGAGAGAGAGAGAGAGAGAGAGAGAGAAAGAAACAAGCCAUAUGCUGGCUAUCUAUGCCGCGCAGAGAUUAACAAGUACUGCUACUUGAAGAAACAUCGGAAGGAGAUCUCCAAUUGAAUAAUCAAACUGACAGCAAAAUGUCGAAUCAAGACCGUUCGCAGGAAUGGCGUGCAUCGAGCUUUACGGCGCUGCAUCGAUUUCAAGAUCGUUCCUCGCGCUACCCCUCGAAACUUGGAGACUGGGGAGAAAGCUCGCGACAAUAGAAUGUUGAUCGAUAAUCGUCCAUUAAAGACCUCGAAUUAACUGCACCCUCGCGACAAAUUAUAAAUCUAGUUUUGUAUCGAAAAAAGAAGAAAAAAAAAAUAAAGCGAAUACAGAUCGUUCGAUGCAACCCUCAUCGAGUCGACCCGACGACCGCACGACAUCGCGUUUUCAAAGGUCGAGCUAGUAGACGGCCUCGCUCUCAAUGUCUCCUAGAUGCGAAAGACGGAAACGCGAUCGAGUUCACUGGAUCCCCCGUCCCCUGCCGGACGAGUCAUCCACGAGGAAAACGAUGGUCGACGGGUGCCUGCUCGACAGUUGAUCCGCAGAGAAUCGACAACUCCACAAAUAAGCACGGCCUAAGCGAUGAUCGGCCUGUAGAUUGGCGCGCUCGAUGAGUCGUCGCGGAAACGAGCAUCGACAAGCAGCAGCGAGCACCAGCCGACCAAGAAGAAGAGGAAGGAGAAGAAGAAGACGUAGAAGAAGAAGAGAUAGCCUGUAGCCGCGUAGGGUCGUCUCCCUCUCGAGAGAGAGCCGCGUUCCGGGUGAUGCGCGGGAGUAGCUCCGAACUCCUGCUGGAGGCGAGCUGCAGCCAGUGCCAGAGCGAUCGGGGCCAUCGGCGCCGGGACAGCGACGACGGCGGCGGCGGCGGCGGCGGCGACGGCGGCGGGCACGACUUCCACGAACGGGAGCUACGUCGUCGCAAACUGUUGGAGCUCGGGUUCGGCGCGUCGCGGCGCCGACCGCCACGGCGUACCUGCCGGCAACGGCUCAACUUCUACGCCACGUCGGCCCUGGCCUUCGUCGCGACAUCCGGCGGCGCGGCGCUCCUCUUCCUGGUGCCGCUCUACGUCGAUCCGGCCAUCAGCACCCUGGCGGCGGACUUCUCGCCGCAGCCGGUCAUCUGCACGACCUCGCGACGCGAGGAGCUCGCCGGCCUCCUCAACUGCACAUGGAGCUCGUGCCGCGAGGGUUGCACCAGUGACGUGUACAGGUGCACCCACAUAUACGUCACCUACACGCCGUGGAGUAACGUCACCAUGAGGAACGACACCGCCAGGAACACCAACGUCACGACCAACACCACGACGACCCCUCUGGGCGCCGUCACUGCCGUGUCCUCCCCGGGCGACGUCGAGGCGGUGCUCCUGGUGAACAUCAAGGGCUGCGGGUACCCGCCGACAGUCGACUGCGGCAACUUCACCCGCGAGUUGGGUUACGAGGGCGCGAGGUUCCCCUGCCAUUAUAGCCGGGUGAACGGUAGUAUAGUGAUGGCGAACUAUAAUCGCGAGGCACAGAUCACCAUCAUUAUGCACUUCUUCGCGGCGCCCUUUGUAGUGACUCUCGCGACCAGCGUCGCGCUGUGUGUGAUGCACUGUGACUGCAGAUGCACGCCGCCCCCGCGACACCCCCCGCGCGGCAUGAGAAGAUCCAAGGGCAACGAUCUCAGCUGCUGCAUGAGUAUAAAAAAUCGAUAACGGGUUAGAAGCAUGCCGGAAGUCGUCCGAUUUAGAAGGUGUAUUUGACGAGGCAAAUAAACUUUCUAAACCAUACAUAAGACAAAGCGACUUAACAAUGAGAUGUUACUCCAACGUACUUACGUCGUCGUCGUGAGACGAUGCUAAGCUCUUUCGGCUGCAAAUACCGCCUUAGAAGAAAAGAGCGAAUCGCAGAAACGGAAAUCGGAUAUCGAUUCAUCAUCUCUCGCUAAUCCUCCGCUAAUUAACACCAAAAGGCGCAUUCAUCUCAUUAACAAAACGAGUGCGCCGCCCGAAAGCCGUGACUGCGCUCUCCGCUUGCAACGCAAUGAACAUGUGUAAAAAGAGAUCUCUAAUUAUCGAUCGGACGCCGUAAGUAAUCUCUCGUGCACUCGGAAUAAUCGUCAGCCAUCACGGUUGAUAUGUUGCGUAAACAAAACUUAACCAAAGUCGCCGCGCGUAACUCUGAUAAUCCACCAUUCUUCCGAAUGUUUUCUCUCUCCCCUCAUGAUCUUUUCCUCCAGCAUAAAUAAUCGCAUAAGUCAUGCCUUUCCUCUUGCACGAAGAGGAUUUUAUACAAGUACUUUACGUAAAAUCUACUUAACUGUCCAAUUAUCUUGUAGCAAUUUUUCCCAAGUUUUUAAAGC
This 3762-nucleotide unclassified non-coding RNA is filed under the name Camponotus floridanus (Florida carpenter ant). RNAcentral's name for it is "uncharacterized LOC105248617, transcript variant X2". The record is from RNAcentral. Lineage: Eukaryota; Metazoa; Arthropoda; Insecta; Hymenoptera; Formicidae.